GCUUUCAGAAGUGAAGCCUGAACUGAAAGUAACAGUUGGAAAACUAAAGAGAUAUAAUAAUAAUAAAAUAAUAAGUUAAAUCAGCUUUUGAAGAUUCUUUGUGGUAACUUGGCACCAUGAUUUAUUAAUAACCAAAGCUUUCAAGCCCUCCUAUAUUACAUAAGAUUGAUCUCUUAAUUUAAAAAUAUUCUGUUUAAAAAAUUUUUAGGCUAAAGGAUAAGAAAAUUAUUAGAUUAGAAUAUGUCUACCACUGUUAUAAUAGGGAACACUGUCAAAGUAUUAUGUAACAAAAUAUAUGCUUGCUUGGUUAAUACACUACUCUUUACUUUUAUCACUGCUACUGAAAAUCCUUCCUCAUUCAGUGCCUUAUUCAUCCAGCUGGCCAGCUUAACUACAGACAAUUGACUGUACUAAAAGAAAGAAGUGGCUCGUGAUCAUGGGGGAAAAAUUAUUAGAAAUGGAAAGGUGGGGAGCAAGGGAUUUGUGCAAGGGUGCAUUUGCAAAGAUGGCAAGAACAUCAGAAGCUGAAAUUACAGGUUUCUUAUGGAAAAAUGCAAUAGGUGGGGGAUUCUGGAGGUUCCUGCCAGAGCAAAAGGACUAAAAGGCAGCAGCUCAACAACUCAGGCAGGCAGCUGAUGACCAACAUGACAACAGGACAGUGUGAGGAGAGUGAGUCUGCACACGCUGCCUGGCUCUGCACAGGCCUGGCAGGUGAUAGAGGGGGAAGAAGGCUGAAUCACAGUGACAGAACCAAGGAACACAAAUUGACUUCAGGAUUUAUUUUGGGAAAAGAUUAAACAAUAUCUACCAGAACUGAAAUUCAUAUAUCAUUUCUGUUAUGACUGCCUAAUGACUACUUUUAUGCCCUUAAAACAUCAUGCAGUUUUUACACUCUUCAUAUUGCCAGAAACUAUCAUUUUUAGAGGCAUAUAAGGCUCAUUUCCUUUGAAAUGACUGCUAUGUGGUAAAGCUGUAGAUGUUGUAAUACAACUAGCUCUGAAAUAUAAAGGCAUUAAAAUAUUAAUAUUUUAUCUUUCUCCCCUUUCCUUUAGAAAUUCUGCUGAUUUAGAGAAAUUAAAAUCAGUAGGAGACCUGAGAACAGAACAUAAGGGCUGCAGAAUCCUAUUUUCCCUAAGCUGGCACAAAAAAUAAACUUUGGGAAAUUGAGUGAACAGUUGCUAAAAAGAUACAACUACCAGAGGAAGUAGUAAUGCCAUCAUUUUUAUGGCAUUAAAGUUUCUUCAUAUAGCAAUGCCAAUACCUAACAUGCUGAAUGCUGCUUCUACAAUGACUAGACAGCGUCCAAAUUGGAUUUAAGCAAAUUAUUUACCUUACUAGGCAUCCUAAUGUUCAGUAUUUCAUUCCAUUAGAGCAAUUAAACUUUCAGCUAGCAAAAACAAAAAAAAAAAGCAAACCCAUAGAAAUGAGAAAAUUAUCAGAUUUUUCCCAGCUGACCUUGGCAUUAAUUACACAGCCAAAGCCAACAGUAAACUUAGCGAAAGCCAGGUAUGUUGUAUUUUAUACAACUUUAAACAAUGCAUAUCAUCCAGACACGUUUUAAUCAUGCACUCUCCAAUUUAUAUCUCAAUUUACAAUAACAUUGCAACUAGCAACUCCAGAAACAAGGAUAAUGUAAAUGGGGAUGCAGAACAGAUUUUAUCAUAUAAUCUUCCCCAAAGAUAGAAAAAAUCUUGGAUGGAGAUCUUUUCAUUGCUGUUGAUACACAGCAAUUUAAUUCUGCACCUGUAACCAAAUCUCACUAGUUUUAUGCAAUUAAUAGAUACUUCUACACAAUAUUUUCAUUUCAGUUUUCAAGAAAAAUACCACCAGUGUGGAUGUUUUAAAGACCUGUUUUAAGUAUUGGGGUAGUUAUGCUACACAAAAGACUUCCACGGUCUAAAAAUAUCACUAAGCAUAUUAAAAUAUCCCCCAGAGAAAGGAAAGUUCAACUACAUGUUCAUGUCCUAUAGGUACACAAGUCACUGUGCCCUCCCUUCUAGGACAGCCAGCAGGAAAGGUAAACCACAGAGCACUCACUGGCUACCAGGGAUUUUCUUCUCCCUGCAUUUCUCAUUGUCAGGGCUGAAAAAAUCAUUGCAUUAUAGAGAAGAGCAAAAAGCCUGGGAACCUCUUUGGGCUUUGAGCCAAUUCCAGAAAAAACUAUUCCUUAAUUAGUUUUCAUCAGAGUAUAGCUGACUUGGAUCCUACUGUCCUUGAUACUUUCGCUUCUUGCCUUUUUGUGCUUUGAUCUAUUUCUUAUAAAUAAAAGAGGCACUAUGAAAAGCAGGGGAAAUGGUACCUGCUUCUUGUGUAGGUUACCCCAAUCAGUCAGUGCCAGCAGGGGAGGAUGAGCAGAGAGGGGAGGCGACUCUUCCUGCACUGCCUGGGGUGACCCCCACAGCUCUUGCACACAGAACAUUUCAGACAUCUGGGUCUCUGCUAUACAAAUCUUUAACAGCCUGCUAAGGUGCAAACACUUAUAGGGUGUUACUGUUACUUAUGAGAGCUAAGCUCAGAAAUGUAUUGGAAAGACUACAAGUAAAGAACAUUUAUUGAAUUACUAUGCUUUAUCCAUUUCAAAGCAGCAGAAACUUUCUAAUGCCCGCCUUGUCAGUAGAGGACAUUGAAAACUUUCAUUAGCACUGUUAGUGCUAUUCAUCAGCAUCAGCUUGGUCUCUCUCAGUUGCAUUGCUCUCAGUGAAUGAUUAAUGUUGAAAUCCUCUUCUCUUUAAAUGUUUAUCAUCCUCUUAGAUAUGGCUGGAAGUUUAAUUUCUCAGGGCAUUGUCAAAUAAAAUGUGCUGCAGUUCCUGAAAGUUAAAUACUACACAGAUAACCAGAGCCUCCCCUGUUUCUAACAGCAGGCUAUUCCUUUCUAGCGGUGACAGAACAGAUCUGUAUUAUAUCACAUAUAUUUUUCAUUGUAAAGCAUUUCUAAAAUGAAUAAUAGAAAUUAGCAACUGCAAAGAAUUGUGAAAGAAUUGCUUCUAUGAAAGGUAACUUCAAUCCAAAAGUCCCUUAGAGGACCAACACAGUAAAUGUAGGCUUAUCAAUAUAUGGCAAUAAGUUUCACAAAGAUUAGAAUCUGGGUUGGUAAACUUGGCUAUGUUCACAAAAGAAAAGAAGAAUCUACUAGAAUGGGAAACUCUCACAUAGUUUCCCUCCAUGCUUCUUGGCAGACAAUUGAUACAUCAAAUUCAGCAAGAUUUUAAAAUAAACAGUAAUAUU
RNAcentral lists this long non-coding RNA (3225 nucleotides) under Taeniopygia guttata (zebra finch). Its description in RNAcentral is "lncRNA (ENSTGUG00000025271.1)". Lineage: Eukaryota; Metazoa; Chordata; Aves; Passeriformes; Estrildidae. The record is from RNAcentral.